RNAcentral lists this ribosomal RNA (305 nucleotides) under uncultured bacterium. RNAcentral describes it as "bacterial SSU rRNA". It matches the Rfam family "Bacterial small subunit ribosomal RNA", at positions 332 to 655 of the family's 1533-position model. The record is from RNAcentral.
UUGUGCCUACGGGGCGCAGCAGUGGGGAAUAUUGCACAAUGGGGGAAACCCUGAUGCAGCGACGCCACGUGAGUGAAGAAGUAAUUCGUUAUGUAAAGCUCUAUCAGCAGGGAAGAAAAUGACGGUACCUGAGUAAGAAGCCCCGGCUAACUACGUGCCAGCAGCCGCGGCAAUACGUAGGGGGCAAGCGUUAUCCGGAUUUACUGGGUGUAAAGGGAGCGUAGACGGCAGCGCAAGUCUGGAGUGAAAGGCGGGGGCUCGACCCCCGGACUGCUCUGGAAACUGUACGGCUGGAGUGCAGGAGG